RNAcentral lists this ribosomal RNA (253 nucleotides) under uncultured bacterium. Its description in RNAcentral is "partial 16S ribosomal RNA". It matches the Rfam family "Bacterial small subunit ribosomal RNA", at positions 524 to 776 of the family's 1533-position model. The record is from RNAcentral.
UACGUAGGUGGCAAGCGUUGUCCGGAUUUAUUGGGUUUAAGGGGUGCGUAGGCGGUCCUAUAAGUCAGUGCUGAAAUAUCCCGGCUUAACCGGGAGGGUGGCAUUGAUACUGCAGGACUUGAGUAAAGUUGAGGUUGGCGGAAUUGACGGUGUAGCGGUGAAAUGCUUAGAUAUCGUCAAGAACACCUAUUGCGAAGGCAGCUAACUAAGCUUUAACUGACGCUGAGGCACGAAAGUGUGGGGAGCAAACAGG